This 485-nucleotide ribosomal RNA is filed under the name uncultured bacterium. RNAcentral describes it as "bacterial SSU rRNA". It matches the Rfam family "Bacterial small subunit ribosomal RNA", at positions 28 to 507 of the family's 1533-position model. The record is from RNAcentral.
GAUGAACGCUAGCGGCAGGCCUAACACAUGCAAGUCGAGGGGCAGCACGGACUAGCAAUAGUUGGUGGCGACCGGCGCACGGGUGCGUAACACGUAUGCAACCUUCCCAUAAGCGGGGGAUAACCCGGAGAAAUUCGGACUAAUACCGCAUAACAUAUAAUAGUGGCAUCACUAUUAUCUUAAAGAUUUAUCACUUAUGGAUGGGCAUGCGCAUGAUUAGCUAGUUGGUAGGGUAAUGGCUUACCAAGGCAACGAUCAUUAGGGGUUCUGAGAGGAAGGUCCCCCACACUGGUACUGAGACACGGACCAGACUCCUACGGGAGGCAGCAGUGAGGAAUAUUGGUCAAUGGGCGAGAGCCUGAACCAGCCAAGUCGCGUGAAGGAAGACUGUCCUAUGGAUUGUAAACUUCUUUUAUACAGGAAUAAAGUGGGUUACGUGUAACCUUUUGCAUGUACUGUAUGAAUAAGGAUCGGCUAACUCCGUG